GGCGAUCUACUGGAACAUUAUUGACGCUGAGACGCGAAAAGCGUGGGGAGCAAACAGGAUUAGAUACCCUGGUAGUCCACGCCCUAAACGAUGUACACUAGUUGUUGUGAGGCUAGACCUUGCAGUAAUGCAGUUAACACAUUAAGUGUACCGCCUGGGGAGUACGGUCGCAAGAUUAAAACUCAAAGGAAUAGACGGGGACCCGCACAAGCGGUGGAGCAUGUGGUUUAAUUCGACGAUACGCGAAGAACCUUACCUGGACUUGACAUAGAAAGAAUAACGCAGAGAUGUGAUAGUGCUAGCUUGCUAGAACUUUCAUACAGGUGCUGCACGGCUGUCGUCAGCUCGUGUCGUGAGAUGUUGGGUUAAGUCCCGCAACGAGCGCAACCCUCGUCGUUAGUUGCUAACAGUUCGGCUGAGAACUCUAACGAGACUGCCUGGGUAACCAGGAGGAAGGUGAGGACGACGUCAAGUCAUCAUGGCCCUUACGUCCAGGGCUACACACGUGCUACAAUGGGGCAUACAAAGAGCAGCGAUACCGCGAGGUGGAGCAAAUCUCAAAAAUG
RNAcentral lists this ribosomal RNA (566 nucleotides) under uncultured bacterium. Its description in RNAcentral is "bacterial SSU rRNA". It matches the Rfam family "Bacterial small subunit ribosomal RNA", at positions 720 to 1283 of the family's 1533-position model. The record is from RNAcentral.